Pogoniulus pusillus (Red-fronted tinkerbird) is the source of this 5498-nucleotide long non-coding RNA. RefSeq lists it as uncharacterized. Lineage: Eukaryota; Metazoa; Chordata; Aves; Piciformes; Lybiidae. The transcript has 3 exons. The record is from RefSeq and is a predicted model, not a curated record.
GAGUUGUCAUCUUCUCAUCAAAAUGACUAGAUGGAAAGCAAAUAAAACACAAAACUGUCAGAAGUUGAAGGCCACAAUCCAAUGCGCCAGUUACCAAAUGACAGAAACAGAGACAUCAGAGAAGAGAGUGCAGGGUACGUCCUGGUCUGCUAUACAAAUGAGUGUAUGAGUGUGUGAGCAUCACAUUCAAUAAUGAUCACGAUGACUGGGAAUGAUGCUUGAGGACUAGAGGAAUGUGAAUGUCACUCCUAUCUUCAAGCACCCAAAGGAGGACCCCAGAAGUUCUCAAUGUUAGGACCAGAGGCAGUGGACACACAUUGAAACAGAGAAGGAGAGGUUCCCUAUGAACAUCAGGAAAUGUUUUCACUGUGAGGGUUGCUCAGCACUGUCACAAGUUGCCCAGAGAGGCUGUGAAGUUGUCAUCCUUGGAGAUAAUUGAAAGCCACCUGGACAUGGUCCUGGACAGCCUGCUCUAGCUGCCUUUUCUGUAGCAGAGGAGAUGAACGAGAUGACCUUCAGAGGUCCCUUCCAGCUUCAACCAUCCUGUGGUUCUCUGACCUUCUGGCACCUUACUUCUCAUGCCACUCUGAACACUGCUUCUUUUGGCAGACUGAAGGGGAUAUGCCCAGGCAUUUCCAAAGAGAAGUGAUCUGAGUGCUGGAGAGAUUAGGCUGGCACAGGCUCCUUGGUCUGGCUGUAUGUUCCCAGGUCUAAAUUCUGCUCAGAUGGCUGACUGCUGUGAGACAGAAGGUGCCUUGUAAAUGCUGUGGCUGAAGGGUGAGGUGAAUACAAGUUUUCAUCUGAGAGAAAAUAAAAGAAACACUACUCCAGGAGUCAGUGCUCACCAUGUCAGGUAGGCAAUAGCUGCUGUUUUGAUUUAAUUGCCUGUGUGAUGGUCAGCAAAGCUUUUAAUAGCUGGUACCUUCAAAAGCAAUGAAGUACUACUUUGAUUUGCUUUAUUUCAAACUGUGCUUACCAGCAGCCACAGGGCGCGCUCAACUUUCAUCUUUGCUUUUGCACAAUGAAAUUUACCUCUUGGAAACUUGUUAGGAAAAAAAAUAUUGUUUCCAUCUGCCAAAAAGUCAGGUUUUCCCCAUGAAAGAGCACACUUCACUAACAGUGUGCAUGGUGGAACAGAAGAUGUGUGAGUUUUCUCUCCUGUGCUUCCUAGCAAGAACAAACAGCACACGUUUUUUCUCAAAGCUGCAUCUUAUUGGCAAAGGAAACUCAAAGUAGGUUUCAGACUGUAAACUCUUUGGAGCAGGCACUUCCAUACAUCACUGUUAACACCCAUGGUGUGAACACUGCUCUUUCAACACUGAAAAGCUGCACAGGAAAAAUGGAUAAGACAUCCUGGUCCUGGAUGGACUGCAAGGAUUUUGACAGCAGGAAACCAGAGCAGGUUUCUGUGUGAUUAUUCCUCAGCUCAGUGAUGAGUGAAGUACUUCUGAACAAAAGGAAAACAUCUUGGCAAACUACAGAAGGCUUGAUUGGAAUAGGUCAGCAAAAAGAGAACUAUAGUUUUACUCUGUGAUUUGCACUGCAAACUCUAAUGUGAGACCAAGCAAUGAACACAGGGGUAAAGAAACUGCCCAGCUACAGUGAAAUUGUCACCUUGGUGGGAUGGUGUUUGUAGGUGACCCUUCUAGCAUUUGGCAGUGCUGCUGGUUGUCCUGCCAGUAACAUGCUACUGAAUUUCAUGUGACUUUCCACACAAGGUGCAGUCUUACAGGCAUGGACAGGCAUCUGCUUUUCCUGUGAUUAAGAGCAAAGGUGGGUGCAAAUCAAACCAGAGUUUCCUACAUUAUGCCACCCCAAAUUGGCCCCCUUUUGCAUCUGUUAGCUAACACGACCUAGUGUCAUCUCCCCUGUGGGGUCUUGGCAUGCAGGACAGCCUGUGCUUUGGGAAUGGAAGAAGAGGUGUCCAGUGCAAGAAGCUUUUGGCUGUAAGAGACUGGGCUUAGAGUAGAUCCUGCAUAAAAAGGGCUGAAUUGAUUGGAAAUGAAAGCAGGUGAUAAAAUAUCUGGUCUGCCUGUGUCCCACUCAGUCAGAAGGUGCAGUGAACCUGAGGUAGCUGUGCCUCUCAGCACCCUGAGUGUAUGUUUACCACAGAUUAGCAUUCUACACAUUUAUAGCCCAGGCCAGGUUUUGGAGAUGAGCUGAAAACUAAUCAGGUAAAUGCAGAGACUACCUGCAUUGUUAGGAGUCAUGCAGGAGAGAAACCUGUCUGCACUGCUGCUGUUAAUAUGCUGGCAGUGCUAUUGCUGCUUAUUUAUAGCUAAAGACUACUUCCAAAACAUGGGAGCUGAAACCUGUGUUGCAGAAGUUGCAGCUGAGACAUUCCACUUACAGUAAGGACUUUGAAGUAAAAAUUAUCCCCAUCCUUGGCCAGCUUGAAAAAGAAAUAUCGUGAUGACCUGGACAUAACUAGAGAUGCACAAGAGUGUGAAUGUGUAACAUUUAUGCCCUUCUACAGUGGCUGGUCAAGCACAAAGGUGCACAGCAUCUGCGUGGCAGAACCUGGGGCCAUUGUGCUUAGAGUGCUCAAGCCUAACUUCUGAGCUGGGUAUCUGGACCUGAGAGAUGUGCAGACUUGAAUUUCAGCACUCAUCUCCUGAGAAAACACAUUUACACUGCUAGAACUUGCAUUUACAUGCAAGAAGUCUAAAAAUCUCUCCUGUCCCUCCUGUCACUUCUCAGGUGCUCCCAUCCAAUCUGCGACAGUUUUAAACUGUCAGUGGCAUAAAAAAUCGCCACAUUCAGCCCAAAGUCAGUGAAAAACAAUACCAGGCUCGGAACAGCAACUUCUUGCUUGCAGAGCUGAUGUUGCAGCUUAAUAUAUGUGGAGCGGAGGAGAGGAGCAUCAGCGUUUUCGCCUGGCUGCGAGUGCCAGAGCCACCAGUUGAAUUGGGCACAGUAACCAUAGCAACGGCAAGUUUCCGGGACUGGGAGUGACAGGUUGACAGGAUUACUCUUCAAAGCUCUUGCUCCCUUGGGAGAGAAGACCUAAAGGAAGGCGAUGGGAGUUAAUUUAGUGCUCACACUAGAGCAAGGGUCAGCAGUGGCAGGUCCGCUCUGGAGGAAAGCCCGCAGCAACAAUAAACAACUCCCUUUCAAUGGGACUCUGCCUAGCACUGAAAUCACUAUAGGAGGCAUUCCACAAAGAAAAGGAGAUUGGAGCACACAAAAAGGGACACCACUCCCUUCUAAGGGACAGUCAUGACCAGUGGUUCCCGCAAGUCUCAAAGCUGAAUCGCUGCUUAGCUGUGAUGACUUUGCUCUGUCCUGCCACUCCCACUUCCAGUGCUGGGGUGGCCAGAUGUGGCUGUGGAGCUCAAAUGUGGAAACACUAAGUUGUGCCAUACCUGGAAGUGAUGGAGAAGUGACGAGGAAGCAGGCAGGUGUGUAGGCUAGGAAGGGGUGUGGAACAUAAGGUGUAAAUGGUGAGGUGACUGAGGUGUGGGCAUGGCUGUAGUAAGGUGGGCUUGUAGAAGACAAGAGGGUGCUUGCAGGGAAGAGGGAGGCAGCAUGGUGGUGUAGGGGACAGGAGAGAAGGCUGUCAGCUCCUAAUGUUCAUUGUCUCAUUGCAGUGAAGGUAUCAGUGGGGGUUGAAAUUAAGCGUUUUUAAGAAGUGCAUUCUUGUGCACAGUCGCUUUAGUCCCCUUGGACUUCGGCAAGCAAAGGGCUGCUUUCCGUCUGCCCCUUUGGAAGAAGAGGUGUAUGACAGCUCUGUCUCCACGUGUUGCCAACUUAUGGCCAAUGAAACUUCCCUUCAAGCCGUGGUUAACAGACCAAUGCUGAAAAUCCAGCCCUGCUCAGUACCAAAAGACUAUGUGUGAUUUCAAGCUGAUUUUCUGUCUGUGCCUACUAAUGAUGGAUGGGAAGACUGAAACCACACAUACUCAAACAUCUCUUGUCUCCCCGUGGCAACUGAUAGCCAACUACAGUUGCCUGCACUGAGGCCCAGCUACACUCUGUCUGCUUGUAAAUCACUCAGAGAAGUCAGUGCCUACAAGCUCCAAAAGCAUGGAGAGGGAAGGUAGCCCCAGGAUCUGACUGCAGAGAAGCUCUCUACACACAUGCAAUGAACUUCUUUUGCAACUUUUGGGUUUGGUUUGGUUUGGUUUUCCCCUCCCCCACUACGGGAAGAAGACAUACACAUGCCUGCACGGGAGUCUGUGUAGUCUGAAGGCCAAAAAGGCAUCAGUGUCACUGUGUGUUCCACUGACCUGGCUUUUGGUCCUGUAAAAUAAGUGGUGCAGGCAGAGAUGUUUCACAGCACAGAGAGAAUGGCAAGGAGAAUGUAGUAGAAGUGCUGACACGGGAUUAAUUAUAGCGCUGCAGAAAGGGUGGACUUACAAAAAAUGUAAUGUGGGAACAAAGUAUUUCCACUGCCUUUUGUUAGCUACUUAGAGGCGGAUGCAGUACUGCUUCUAUCUCAACUGCAGCUCUUUGCUACAUUUGGGCUGAUCUUUGCUUUCCCUUCCCAACAAAGGGUUUGAAAAACUAUAGGCAACUCCUUGAAAUCUGGAGCAGCUCUGUGCCAGCAACUUUUGCCCAAUCAAAUGAGAGGCUGAAGGCACCGAUUCCAGGGGCUUGAAAUGGGGAAACUUGGGCCCAUUUGUUCUUCGCUGUAACACCAUGCACAUCUUGGUUAUCCCCCAGCUCCUCUGACUCCAAAAUGCAAACAAAUCAACUCAGAAAAGGAGCCUUAGUUAAAAGGCUUCAUGUAAAUGAAAAUUUAAUUACUAUGAAACCACCUCAAAGAGUAUACCUUCAUUUCACCUGCCCCACUUUGCCAGCACCUCAGCCUGAGAAAGCUGGCAGGAGGAGAGGACUUGUGCUGGGAAAAUGGCACUUUGGGGAUCAGGGAAGCCAGGCUCAGAGCCCUAAGCAGCAAGGGGUCACUGUGAGCAUUCCAGCCACAACGCCGAGCACAGAGAGACCUUUCCUCCUUGCCAGCAACUGCACAGCAAAGCCUUUUUCAGUGUCAUAAAAUCUGUUCUGCUUCUCUGCACCUCCAAGAUACAGGGGCAGGAGGCGAGGGAAGGAUUCAGCUGGCAGAGGGAAGGCAACAGAAGGAGUCUGGCUGGCAAGGGGGUGACAGGGAAAAGGAUUCUGGCUGGCAGAGGGGUGACAGUAGAAGGACUCUGGUGGCAGAUUUGCCGUUUAGAAAAGCGCAGUCAGAACGCCGCCUUGGUUUCCUCCGCGCUGCCGGCAAAGCCAAGUCCCCUCCGUUUCAGGCCGCGCAGCAUUCGGCUUUUAGCCUCCCAUCCAGCUCCUGUUUCCGAAAGGGCGCAACUGCUCCCUCUCAGCUUCCCCUUCUGCCCCCGCAUCACGCCCAGGGCCCCGUCUAAGCGCUCCGGAGCCGCCACCAGGGCAGGCAGAGGCCCUUCGCCUCCACCAGCCCUCCGGCUCGGGGCCGUGCCGUGCCGUGCCGCGCCGGCCCCCCCGCGCCGCUUUCCCACGGCCCCCGCCGCCCGCCGGGGAGGCGGGGC